GGAUCUUUAAGUGAUUAGGACAGUUAGCUGUGCUUUGAUGCAAUCAGAAUGAACAAAUCCUUCAAAAGCUUUGUAACCUUGAUUAUUUUGAUGGAAUCAUUUUCCUGUUUGUUAAAGUCUGAAGACCUAAACCCAUUCCAUUUGACUAUUUUGUGUUUACUUACCUGCCUGGUUCUUAAAUAGGCAGGUACUUAAAUAGUUAUUGAAUGAGUGAAAGAAUCAAAGAAAAGGAGAGACAAGUCUUGUCUCUUCAUUUUGUUUUCUCCAGUCUCCCUCCCUGUUUCAGAGGCCCAAGUACCUGGUUAAAGAAUCUAAUCUCUAUGACAUUUGCCUUGAGGGUGGGGCCUCAUCUCAUUUAUCUCUGUGGCCCCCAAGCCCAGCAUAAUCCCAGUAAGUGUUGAAAUGGAUGAAAGAAUUUCUAAGGGAUAGUAACUCUAUGGUUGGAUUUUGGUAAAUACCAAGCGUAUUAAAAUGUUUCAUAUUCUGAGAAGUUGAUUCAUUAAGUUUAGGAGAGAGAAUUUAGUCUGUCACAUUUUUUUUUUUCUGUGCACAAAUGGAGCUUACACAAGAUGACUUUUUUCUCCCCCCACCCCCGUCCUUUACUGUUGUUUCUUCUUAUUGCUUCUCUAAUGCUUCCCUUUAGAGAGAAGCCAUGACGUUAUUUUAAUUCUGGAAUGAGCUGGGAUUUUAAAAUGCUUGCUCUACACAGGAUGUCUAGAGUAUAAAUUACAUGAAUGCAUUGUCACUUUUCCAACCUUUAGCUUUUAACUUUAUAGCAAAUAUAUUUUUGCAUCACUGGGGUCUGUAUUUACUUGUUUCCCUAAUGCAGCUUUUCUCCAUGGAAUACUCUCAGUAGAAACAUAUGCUUGAAGCUUCAAAGUAAUUACAAUAUCACUAAAAGCUUCAUAAUCACAUUACUGCAACUAAAUGUUAAAAAAUUUGAUUUUCCUUGAUCCAAUCAUUUCAAUUUAAUUUUAGGCUACUGCAUGAUUGAUUAAGGAAACAUGGCAGGCCAAAGUCAAGGAGUGUUCAUAAUGCCUAAAGCCUUGCACAGAAAACUUCAAGACAAUUUAAUUUGGGUAGGAAUUCAUUUUAAUCAUUCUGAGCGAUUUUUUAAUAGGAAAAAUAGAUUUAUUUUCGUGCUUUUUGUCUUUGACUGACUCUGAUGUCAUCUAUCUAGCCCUCUGCCUGGAGCAUUCAUCCACCUUCUCUUCAGCCUUCUGGGUAGAGACCCCGGAUGAUACAAAAGCCCUAGUUCUAAAACAAAGAACUGAAGUCGGAUUUUUUUCAUAAUUGUUCUAAAGAUGUUCUUUCAUGUUAUGUAUAAGAUAGGCUUAAAUUUUAAACUUAAAGAAAGUGUGGAUAAUGUUGAAAUAUUUGUAUCUGUUUACAGUAUGCAAGUGCAGCUCCAACAGUGGCUUUACAUGAGGCAUUUAUUCUGCCUCCUUUCAAUUAAAUAACAGGAUAUGCCAGCAGCUUCACUUGUCCAUGAAGAUACAGAACUUUAUGAAUAAACAUAUCUACCUUUUCCUCAUGGCUCACAGUGGGGCGGAGAAAUGGUCUUUCAUCAAAGUCAUGUCUGUGGUUGUUCUCAAAAACCAUUUAUUUUUAUUUUUAGUGAAUUAUAGAGACAAGUGAAUAUGAAGUUACUUUCCAAAGUAAUGUGAAUUUUCCUAAUUUUAAGCGUAGUUUGUUUUAAUCAUAUGGGCUAUAAAGCCAUAAAUGUAGAAUAUUUACUGAUCAUAUUUGAUAUUUACUCAGCCAGAAGUCUAGACAUUAACCUGCUUUUAUAAUUCUGCUUCUAAGCAUGUGCCACUCUGUGGUGGGUCUGAUGCGUUAGGCCAGCAGAAACCCAGACCAGAUCUAUUCAUCCUGUCUCAUACAGCAUGUAAUUCAGGCUGUGAUCAAUAGGAUCCCAAGCAGCAGGAGAAACCUACUUGCCCUAUUGACUCCAUCCACCUGCCUCCAUCCUGACAGGGCUUCUGACUUGGCCUAAUGUGAAUAAAUCCCAGGAGGGAAACCGGUGGUUUUUGUCUGUCUUUUGUCUACUUAGGGCCACACCUGUGGCAUAUGGAGCUUCCCAGGCUAGGGGUCAAAUCCAAGCUGCAGCUACCAGCCUACACCACAGCCACAGCAACGUGGGAUCCGAGCCACAUCUUCAGUGUACACCACAGCUUACAGCAAUGCCAGAUCCUAACCCACUGAGUGAGGCCAGGAAUCAGACCCGUGUCCUCGUGGAUACUCGUCGCGUUAACCACUGAGCCAUGAUCAGAACUCUAAGACCAGUAGUUCUUAAUUAAGGCAGUUUAAGUCAUGUCUGUUAUCUGUUAUGACCCAUACAAGGAGGUUUGGAAUGAUAUUGCCAGUAAUAACAAGGGGCAGUAGAUGAUCCAAAAAGUAACCCUUAUAGCAAAUGAAGUUGUGUUGACAGGUGACAAAGAAUGUUCUGAGAUGUAUGAAGCAUUUGAAUACAUCUAUUUUAAAGGGUUUUUAAAAAGCCUGAGUACAUUAUUUAAUACAGUAUAUUGGUUUGAAUAUGUGCAUAAACCCAGCACAGAAGUGUCUGGCUUGUUGAUGUCCCAUGCACAUUUUCACUUUGGUUAUUAAAGUGUGAUUCUAGAUGUAUAAUCCAUGCCUAAGAAAGGAAGACUUUU
Molecule: long non-coding RNA, 2654 nt
Filed under: Sus scrofa (pig)
Lineage: Eukaryota; Metazoa; Chordata; Mammalia; Artiodactyla; Suidae
Description: lncRNA (ENSSSCG00030028995.1)
Source: RNAcentral